GGGGUUGUGGCUCAGAGGUAGAGCGCUCACCUAGCAUGUGUGAGGGUUCAAUUCUCAGCACCA
This 63-nucleotide transfer RNA is filed under the name Ictidomys tridecemlineatus (thirteen-lined ground squirrel). RNAcentral's name for it is "Spermophilus tridecemlineatus (thirteen-lined ground squirrel) tRNA". It matches the Rfam family "tRNA". Rfam says of the family: Transfer RNA (tRNA) molecules are approximately 80 nucleotides in length. Their secondary structure includes four short double-helical elements and three loops (D, anti-codon, and T loops). The record is from Rfam by way of RNAcentral. Lineage: Eukaryota; Metazoa; Chordata; Mammalia; Rodentia; Sciuridae.